CUCUGAUGCACUUGGUGUAAGUCAGCUGGUGAUAAAUAGUGAGAGACAGGAGUUCCUUGCAAACAAAUGAGCCUCAACUAACCUCAUUUCUUCUUUUGACGGGAUAACAAGCUUAGAGGAUAAAUUCUUCCCUGCCAGAAUUUGUUUCUCUGCUGCCAGCCACCUCAGCAUUUAGCAAAACCCCAUUUUUUUUGCUCAAUUUCAGGCUGCUUAAAGCAAAGGCAGGUUCAGAUCACCCUCCUCAAGUUUUGGAUUCAGCCCCAAAAGCUCUUUUCCUGCAGGCUGCUGUACUUGUUCCCAAUCCUCUCAGCUCUGGAGAUGCUCAAGCCUCCCCACUGCCUGCACUCUGGGGCAGGAUGGCAGAGCCCACACUGACCUGAGACCCCAUGUGUGGGGGAAAAACCAGCUGUGUACAUCAGCAGCAAGGAUAAUUCUUCUCAGCAGCCCUUGCAAAGUGUCUGAAGAGGAUGUUCCUGGGCAGCUCAGCAGCACUACUCUGGCUGCAGCUCACUCGUGGGAGCAACUAGGAUGUGUUACAAGGCAGCAGCUCAGCACAGGCAGGGAAUGAAAGUACAAUGCCUUCCCUCCCUGCUUGCCAAGGAUUGCAGGGCCUGGAGAUGGAGGGUGGCACAAAGGUAAGUGGGAUGCCACAGCAUCACUGCAAUCU
This 667-nucleotide long non-coding RNA is filed under the name Catharus ustulatus (Swainson's thrush). Its description in RNAcentral is "lncRNA (ENSCUSG00005000097.1)". The record is from RNAcentral. Lineage: Eukaryota; Metazoa; Chordata; Aves; Passeriformes; Turdidae.